RNAcentral lists this ribosomal RNA (380 nucleotides) under uncultured bacterium. Its description in RNAcentral is "bacterial SSU rRNA". It matches the Rfam family "Bacterial small subunit ribosomal RNA", at positions 30 to 416 of the family's 1533-position model. The record is from RNAcentral.
AUUGAACGCUGGCGGCAUGCCUUACACAUGCAAGUCGAACGGUAGAGUAGCAAUACUCGAGAGUGGCGAACGGGUGAGUAACAUAUCGGAACGUGCCCAAUCGUGGGGGAUAACGUAGAGAAAUUUACGCUAAUACCGCAUACGAUCUAAGGAUGAAAGCGGGGGAUCGCAAGACCUCGCGCGAUUGGAGCGGCUGAUAUCAGAUUAGGUUGUUGGUGAGGUAAAAGCUCACCAAGCCGACGAUCUGUAGCUGGUUUGAGAGAACGACCAGCCACACUGGGACUGAGACACGGCCCAGACUCCUACGGGAGGCAGCAGUGGGGAAUUUUGGACAAUGGGCGCAAGCCUGAUCCAGCAAUGCCGCGUGCAGGAUGAAGGCC